This 254-nucleotide ribosomal RNA is filed under the name uncultured bacterium. RNAcentral's name for it is "partial 16S ribosomal RNA". It matches the Rfam family "Bacterial small subunit ribosomal RNA", at positions 524 to 776 of the family's 1533-position model. The record is from RNAcentral.
UACGAAGGGGGCUAGCGUUGCUCGGAAUCACUGGGCGUAAAGCGCACGUAGGCGGAUCGUUAAGUCGGGGGUGAAAUCCUGGAGCUCAACUCCAGAACUGCCUCCGAUACUGGCGAUCUUGGAGUCCGGGAGAGGUGAGUGGAACUCCGAGUGUAGAGGUGAAAUUCGCAGAUAUUCGCAAGAACACCAGUGGCGAAGGCGGCUCACUGGCCCGGUACUGACGCUGAGGUGCGAAAGCGUGGGGAGCAAACAGG